UCAAGACGAACGCUGGCGGCGUGCCUAAUACAUGCAAGUCGAACGGAGAUAUUCGCUGAUGAAGUACUUCGGUAAUGAAUCUUGGAUAUCUUAGUGGCGGACGGGUGAGUAACGCGUGAGCAACCUGCCUUUCAGAGGGGGAUAACGUUUGGAAACGAACGCUAAUACCGCAUGACAUUAUCUUAUCGCAUGGUAGGAUAAUCAAAGGAGCAAUCCGCUGAAAGAUGGGCUCGCGUCCGAUUAGGUAGUUGGUGGGGUAACGGCCCACCAAGCCGACGAUCGGUAGCCGGACUGAGAGGUUGGACGGCCACAUUGGGACUGAGACACGGCCCAGACUCCUACGGGAGGCAGCAGUAAGGGAUAUUGGUCAAUGGGGGAAACCCUGAACCAGCAACGCCGCGUGAGGGAAGACGGUUUUCGGAUUGUAAACCUCUGUCCUCUGUGAAGAUGAUGACGGUAGCAGAUGAGGAAGCUCCGGCUAACUACGUGCCAGCAGCCGCGGUAAUACGUAGGGAGCGAGCGUUGUCCGGAUUUACUGGGUGUAAAAGGUGCGUAGGCGGCCUGGCAAGUCCAUANUGAAAUC
This 583-nucleotide ribosomal RNA is filed under the name uncultured bacterium. RNAcentral describes it as "bacterial SSU rRNA". It matches the Rfam family "Bacterial small subunit ribosomal RNA", at positions 24 to 601 of the family's 1533-position model. The record is from RNAcentral.